RNAcentral lists this ribosomal RNA (263 nucleotides) under uncultured archaeon. RNAcentral describes it as "partial 16S ribosomal RNA". It matches the Rfam family "Archaeal small subunit ribosomal RNA", at positions 716 to 982 of the family's 1478-position model. The record is from RNAcentral.
ACAGUCACACAUUAGAUACCCUGUAGUCCUAGCCGUAAACGAUACUCGCUAGGUGUCGGCCACGGUGCGACCGUUGUCGGUGCCGUAGGGAAGCCGUGAAGCGAGCCGCCUGGGAAGUACGGCCGCAAGGCUGAAACUUAAAGGAAUUGGCGGGGAGCACGACAACGGGUGGAGCUUGCGGUUUAAUUGGAUUCAACGCCGGAAAUCUUACCGGGACCGACAGCAACAUGAAGGCCAAGCUGAAGACUUUGCCGGAUUAGCUG